CUCCGAAAGGGUAUCGGAGGCGCCCAAAGGUUCCCUCAGAAUGGACGGAAACCAUUCGAAGAGUGCAAAGGCAGAAGGGAGCUUGACUGCGACACCGACGGGUGGAGCAGGUACGAAAGUAGGGCUUAGUGAUCCGGUGGUAUUAAGUGGGAAUGCCAUCGCUCAACGGAUAAAAGCUACCCUGGGGAUAACAGGCUUAUCACUCCCAAGAGUUCACAUCGACGGAGUGGUUUGGCACCUCGAUGUCGGCUCAUCGCAUCCUGGGGCUGUAGUAGGUCCCAAGGGUUGGGCUGUUCGCCCAUUAAAGCGGUACGCGAGCUGGGUUCAGAACGUCGUGAGACAGUUCGGUCCCUAUCCGGCGUGGGCGUAGGAUAUCUGAGAGGAGCUGUCCUUAGUACGAGAGGACCGGGAUGGACGGGCCGCUGGUGCAUCGGUUAGACUGCCAAGUCUACGGCCGAGUAGCCAAGCCCGGAAGGGAUAAACGCUGAAGGCAUCUAAGCGUGAAGCCCCCCUUAAGAUGAGAUAUCCCAUUCGAAAGAAGUAAACCCCCUUGAAGACGACGAGGUAGAUAGGGCAGAGGUGGAAGUGCAGCAAUGCAUGGAGCUGACUGUUACUAAUCGGGUGAGGGCUUGACCAAAA
This 639-nucleotide ribosomal RNA is filed under the name Ruminococcus sp. TF06-23. RNAcentral describes it as "partial 23S ribosomal RNA". It matches the Rfam family "Bacterial large subunit ribosomal RNA", at positions 2287 to 2925 of the family's 2925-position model. Lineage: Bacteria; Bacillati; Bacillota; Clostridia; Eubacteriales; Oscillospiraceae. The record is from RNAcentral.